Molecule: ribosomal RNA, 603 nt
Filed under: uncultured Roseateles sp.
Lineage: Bacteria; Pseudomonadati; Pseudomonadota; Betaproteobacteria; Burkholderiales; Sphaerotilaceae
Description: bacterial SSU rRNA
Rfam family: Bacterial small subunit ribosomal RNA
Source: RNAcentral
AGUCGAACGGUAACAGGUUAAGCUGACGAGUGGCGAACGGGUGAGUAAUAUAUCGGAACGUGCCCAGUCGUGGGGGAUAACUGCUCGAAAGAGCAGCUAAUACCGCAUACGACCUGAGGGUGAAAGCGGGGGAUCGCAAGACCUCGCGCGAUUGGAGCGGCCGAUAUCAGAUUAGGUAGUUGGCGGGGUAAAGGCCCACCAAGCCAACGAUCUGUAGCUGGUCUGAGAGGACGACCAGCCACACUGGGACUGAGACACGGCCCAGACUCCUACGGGAGGCAGCAGUGGGGAAUUUUGGACAAUGGGCGCAAGCCUGAUCCAGCCAUGCCGCGUGCGGGAAGAAGGCCUUCGGGUUGUAAACCGCUUUUGUCAGGGAAGAAAAGGUUCUGGUUAAUACCUGGGACUCAUGACGGUACCUGAAGAAUAAGCACCGGCUAACUACGUGCCAGCAGCCGCGGUAAUACGUAGGGUGCAAGCGUUAAUCGGAAUUACUGGGCGUAAAGCGUGCGCAGGCGGUUAUGCAAGACAGAGGUGAAAUCCCCGGGCUCAACCUGGGAACUGCCUUUGUGACUGCAUGGCUAGAGUACGGUAGAGGGGGAUGGA